Molecule: ribosomal RNA, 926 nt
Filed under: uncultured Bacillus sp.
Lineage: Bacteria; Bacillati; Bacillota; Bacilli; Caryophanales; Bacillaceae
Description: bacterial SSU rRNA
Rfam family: Bacterial small subunit ribosomal RNA
Source: RNAcentral
UGCAGUCGAGCGAAUCUGAGGGAGCUUGCUCCCAAAGAUUAGCGGCGGACGGGUGAGUAACACGUGGGCAACCUGCCUGUAAGACUGGGAUAACUCCGGGAAACCGGGGCUAAUACCGGAUAAUAUCUAUUUAUACAUAUAAUUAGAUUGAAAGAUGGUUCUGCUAUCACUUACAGAUGGGCCCGCGGCGCAUUAGCUAGUUGGUGAGGUAACGGCUCACCAAGGCGACGAUGCGUAGCCGACCUGAGAGGGUGAUCGGCCACACUGGGACUGAGACACGGCCCAGACUCCUACGGGAGGCAGCAGUAGGGAAUCUUCCGCAAUGGACGAAAGUCUGACGGAGCAACGCCGCGUGAGUGAUGAAGGUUUUCGGAUCGUAAAACUCUGUUGUUAGGGAAGAACAAGUAUCGGAGUAACUGCCGGUACCUUGACGGUACCUAACCAGAAAGCCACGGCUAACUACGUGCCAGCAGCCGCGGUAAUACGUAGGUGGCAAGCGUUGUCCGGAAUUAUUGGGCGUAAAGCGCGCGCAGGCGGUUCCUUAAGUCUGAUGUGAAAGCCCACGGCUCAACCGUGGAGGGUCAUUGGAAACUGGGGAACUUGAGUGCAGAAGAGGAAAGUGGAAUUCCAAGUGUAGCGGUGAAAUGCGUAGAGAUUUGGAGGAACACCAGUGGCGAAAGCGACUUUCUGGUCUGUAACUGACGCUGAGGCGCGAAAGCGUGGGGAGCAAACAGGAUUAGAUACCCUGGUAGUCCACGCCGUAAACGAUGAGUGCUAAGUGUUAGAGGGUUUCCGCCCUUUAGUGCUGCAGCAACGCAUUAAGCACUCGCCUGGGGAGUACGACCGCAAGUUGAACUCAAGAAUUGACGGGGCCCGCACAGCGUGGAGCAUGUGGUUUAUUCGAGCACGCGAAGACCUUACCAGUC